GUGAUUUUAUUUAGUUUAUGGGUAUUUUAAUAUGAUCACAAUACUAAUGUAAUUUUAAGUAAUAUGUCACACAUCAAUGCAUCUUUAAACUAUCCUGUUCUGUACACUCUUCUAACCAGUGAGUUCGAGUUCAUCAUCUGGUCACUGGGAUUCAAUUUUCACCUUUGACCCAAAGGUUUCUUGGAUUUGUAUUUCCUAUCUCCUUGGUCACUUACUUAUAGAAUCUUGUAGUGUGAGGUUGAAUAUUUCAUUCAACCUUGGUAGUGAUUUUAUAUUUAAAGUUUCAAUAGUUUCAUUUAUUCGUAUCAAUUGUGUGUAUUUGGUAUUGGAAGAAUUAUUAUCUACAGAUUUAUUGUUUACAGUUUAAAGACAGAGCUAUAAGGUACUUCACCUUGUUUCCAGACUCUGGUUACUUUAUUAAAAACCCCUUCAUGGGUAAGAACAUUAUUAUUAUUAGUAAGAUUAUUUAGAUUAUGCCUGUAUAUUUCAUACGGGUUAACAGGAGGUAGUUUCCCUUUAAAGUAUUUAUAUAGACUAAGUAUAUAUAAAAGUAGUAGUUAGAAUAGAGAUUUUAGUGUUAAUAUGUAAUAUAUUAUUUUAAUGAAUAUGAAUGAAUUGAUUUUAUAUGUUGGAUUAUGUUAUUUAUACUGUAAUUGUAUAAUUUCAGGGUUUUUAUUAUAAGGUAAUAAAUUGCUGUUUUACUGAA
Molecule: long non-coding RNA, 706 nt
Organism: Patella vulgata (common limpet)
Lineage: Eukaryota; Metazoa; Mollusca; Gastropoda; Patellidae
Exons: 2
Source: RefSeq, a predicted model, not a curated record